GAUGAACGCUGGCGGCGUGCCUAAUACAUGCAAGUCGAGCGAACGGACGAGAAUCUUGCUUCUCUGAUGUUAGCGGCGGACGGGUGAGUAACACGUGUAUAACCUACCUAUAAGACUGGGAUAACUUCGGGAAACCGGAUCUAAUACCGGAUAAUAGUUUGAACCGCAUGGUUCAAAAGUGAAAGACGGUCUUGCUGUCACUAAUAGAUGGAUCCGCGCUGCAUUAGCUAGUUGGUAAGGUAACGGCUUACCAAGGCAACGAUGCAUAGCUGACCUGAGAGGAUGAUCAGCCACACUGGAACUGAGACACGGUCCAGACUCCUACGGGAGGCAGCAGUAGGGAAUAUUGCACAAUGGGCGAAAGCCUGACGCAGCAACGCCGCGUGAGUGAAGAAGGUCUUCGGAUUGUAAAGCUCUGUUAUUAGGGAAGAACAGAUGUGUAAGUAACUGUGCACAUCUUGACGGUACCUAAUGAGAAAGCACCGGCUAACUACGUG
Molecule: ribosomal RNA, 497 nt
Filed under: uncultured bacterium
Lineage: Bacteria
Description: partial 16S ribosomal RNA
Rfam family: Bacterial small subunit ribosomal RNA
Source: RNAcentral